This 1350-nucleotide long non-coding RNA is filed under the name Chinchilla lanigera (long-tailed chinchilla). RNAcentral's name for it is "lncRNA (ENSCLAG00000024805.1)". Lineage: Eukaryota; Metazoa; Chordata; Mammalia; Rodentia; Chinchillidae. The record is from RNAcentral.
ACUGAGAAGAGCUUGCGUUUUAAUCACACUAAAGUCAGGUGGACAGCCUCAGGUCGCUCAGGUUCGCUGUUCCCCAGCCCCUCUUGGAGGUCUGCCCGGUCAGUCUGUGCCACCGGAAGGUGUGUGACCCCGGGCCCAGUCCUCGUCCGGUGCAUGCCGGGGGCUGCGGGAAGAGCUUCACCUACAUUCGGUCACUGGCGCUAGGCACGGUGGCGGCACACACCCCAACCGCCUGCACACGGGAGGCUGAGGCAGGAGGAUUGCCCUGAGUUCGAGGCCAGCCUGGACGCUGUCUCAGAAACCCAGACAAAGAAACAAAAUAUAAGGCAUUAGUUCAGUGACAAGGGAAAUGAACCUACAGAACCUGUGAACUGCAGAGCAGCUGCUUCCGCUAAUCACAUAAAGAACAUAACAGCAGACCUGUUCUUUCCUUUCUCCCUUCCCCCACUCCCCAUCUCCUCCCUCCCCUCCUUCCUCCUCCUCCCUCCCGCCCUCCCAUCCUGGAGAUUUAUCCCAGUAGCUCUGCGCCCAGCCGUGUGUGCAGGCCUGCUUUGUGUUUUGACACGGGCGCCCCGAGACCUACUCUUAGCAACACAGCUAAGGUCAGGAGUUGGAAACAUGUUCCAGAGUGUGUGCGCUAAACUCCUCUCACAGCCUUGCGUGUCACGGGGCCGCUGUGUUCCCAGAAAACUGCAGGGGGACGCAGCCUUGGAUGCCCCAUUUCCGGGCUCUGCGGGGCGUCCCCCUCGCGGCGGGGAGCGCGGCGGCGGCUUUCACACGCCUGUGCCGCGGCAGGGGGCGGGGCUCGCAGGCUUUCCCACGUCUCUGCGAGUUUGCUGCAUCGGUCCCUGCGCGUCUGCUUGUCCUUUGGUGCGCUCGUAAAUCCCUUUAUGAGCCGGCCCGCGAUGGGUCCUCCUCCGAGCCUGGUGACUCCAUCCCAGCCGUGCCGCCGUCAGCUCAUUGCUGCGCAUGCCCAGCUGGCUCCUGUCCACGCGACCUGACCCCAGACACUUGUCAGUGCAGGGUUGGGGUCGAGCCAGGGCCUAUGGGUGACUGCAGUGGCCGCUCCUGCCAAGCUUCACCUGCUGCGCCACCUCUGGCCUUUUAAAGCUGACCUCGCCUUCCUGUCCCUCCCCCAUUCUGCUUCAAGCGCCCAUGCGGAGGAAUUCAAGCGUUGCUUUAGUGAAGCCACCUUCAAAGACCGGAGUAGCCUGUGAAAGCGAGGGAGGACGGUGCCCCGCGCAGCAGCGCUCUGUGGCAGCCCUGGGGUUUGGCUGUCCUGAUCCUCGCAAAGCAGGGACAGCCCAGUGGCCGAGGCCUCGCCGGGACGAGCUGGGCCCAGGCUGGCAG